GACGAACGCUGGCGGCGUGCUUAACACAUGCAAGUCGAACGGAAAGGCCCCUUUGGGGGUACUCGAGUGGCGAACGGGUGAGUAACACGUGAGUAACCUGCCCUUGACUUCGGGAUAACAUCCGGAAACGGGGGCUAAUACCGGAUAGGAAUCCUUGCUGCAUGGUGUGGGUUGGAAAGAUUUUGUGGUGUUGGAUGGGGUCGCGGCGUAUCAGAGUGUGGGGGGGGUAGAGGGUCACCCAGGCUUUGACGGGUAGCCGGCCUGAGAGGGCGACCGGGCCCAUUGGGGCUGGGAUACCGCCCAAACUCCCACCGGGGGCCGCAGUGGGGAAUAUUGCACCAUGGACGGAAGUCUGAUGCAGCAACGCCGCGUGCGGGAUGACGGCCUUCGGGUUGUAAACCGCUUUCCAUUGUGACGAAGCUUUUUUGUGACGGUAGCAGCAGAAGAAGCACCGGCUAACUACGUG
RNAcentral lists this ribosomal RNA (466 nucleotides) under uncultured bacterium. RNAcentral describes it as "partial 16S ribosomal RNA". It matches the Rfam family "Bacterial small subunit ribosomal RNA", at positions 28 to 507 of the family's 1533-position model. The record is from RNAcentral.